Molecule: ribosomal RNA, 482 nt
Filed under: uncultured bacterium
Lineage: Bacteria
Description: partial 16S ribosomal RNA
Rfam family: Bacterial small subunit ribosomal RNA
Source: RNAcentral
AUUGAACGCUGGCGGCAUGCCUUACACAUGCAAGUCGAACGGUAACAGGUCUUCGGAUGCUGACGAGUGGCGGACGGGUGAGUAAUACAUCGGAACGUGCCCGAUCGUGGGGGAUAACGAGGCGAAAGCUUUGCUAAUACCGCAUACGAUCUACGGAUGAAAGCGGGGGAUCUUCGGACCUCGCGCGGACGGAGCGGCCGAUGGCAGACUAGGUAGUUGGUGGGAUAAAAGCUUACCAAGCCGACGAUCUGUAGCUGGUCUGAGAGGAUGAUCAGCCACACUGGGACUGAGACACGGCCCAGACUCCUACGGGAGGCAGCAGUGGGGAAUUUUGGACAAAGGGCGAAAGCCUGAUCCAGCCAUGCCGCGUGCAGGAUGAAGGCCUUCGGGUUGUAAACUGCUUUUGUACGGAACGAAAAGCCUCUUUCUAAUAAAGAGGGGUCAUGACGGUACCGUAAGAAUAAGCACCGGCUAACUACGUG